This 748-nucleotide ribosomal RNA is filed under the name uncultured Lachnospiraceae bacterium. RNAcentral's name for it is "bacterial SSU rRNA". It matches the Rfam family "Bacterial small subunit ribosomal RNA", at positions 28 to 776 of the family's 1533-position model. Lineage: Bacteria; Bacillati; Bacillota; Clostridia; Lachnospirales; Lachnospiraceae. The record is from RNAcentral.
GAUGAACGCUGGCGGCGUGCUUAACACAUGCAAGUCGAACGAAGCUGCUUGAAGGAAGUCUUCGGAUGGAAUUUAAGUAGACUUAGUGGCGGACGGGUGAGUAACGCGUGGAUAACCUGCCUUAUACAGGGGGAUAACGGAGAGAAAUUUCCGCUAAGACCGCAUAAGACCACAGCACCGCAUGGUGCAGGGGUAAAAUAUUUAUAGGUAUAAGAUGGAUCCGCGUCUGAUUAGCUAGUUGGUGAGGUAGAGGCUCACCAAGGCGACGAUCGGUAGCCGGCCUGAGAGGGUGAACGGCCACAUUGGGACUGAGACACGGCCCAAACUCCUACGGGAGGCAGCAGUGGGGAAUAUUGGACAAUGGGGGAAACCCUGAUCCAGCGACGCCGCGUGAGUGAAGAAGUAUUUCGGUAUGUAAAGCUCUAUCAGCAGGGAAGAAAAUGACGGUACCUGACUAAGAAGCCCCGGCUAACUACGUGCCAGCAGCCGCGGUAAUACGUAGGGGGCAAGCGUUAUCCGGAUUUACUGGGUGUAAAGGGAGCGCAGACGGCGAAGCAAGUCUGAAGUGAAAUGCAUGGGCUCAACCCAUGAAUUGCUUUGGAAACUGUUUGGCUUGAGUGUCGGAGGGGUAAGCGGAAUUCCUAGUGUAGCGGUGAAAUGCGUAGAUAUUAGGAGGAACACCGGAGGCGAAGGCGGCUUACUGGACGACAACUGACGUUGAGGCUCGAAGGCGUGGGGAGCAAACAGG